AUGCGGCUACUCAGCAUCUGGGUUGUGUGGGGAACAUUUCUGACAGAUCUGAGUCAUGGAGAUUCUGUCACUCAGCCUUUGUCCUCAGAUGUUAAAUCAGAAGGAGAAGAGUUGACUUUAAGCUGUAUCUAUGAUACCACAUGGAGCGAGUAUUAUUUAUCCUGGUACUGGCAAUACUCAGAUGCAAAGCCUGAGUUUAUAUUGUGGAAAUACUCGAACGGUGGUGAAGAUAAAGCAGAUUUUGCUGAAAGCCGUUUCUCUGCAGAGCUUCAGAGCGCGACUAAACUCACCAGCUUAACCAUCUCGGGUCUGCAGCUGACUGACUCUGCCGUGUAUUACUGCACUAUCACACUCAAAGUGAUGGAAUGCAGUCUCACAUCUGUACAAAAACUGUCUUUAGACUGUGUGUGGGAGCUCCUGUCUGAUGAGGUUUAUACAGAAUCUCUGGCAGAUGUAGCCACAAUGUUCAGCGGCGCUGUCAGCCACUCAAACAUAAACCGAGGGGAAACCACAUUCACCUCGGAUCAAAUUGUCACCAACUGUUUGCAGGAGCGGCCAAGAGAACAAACUUCAGAAUCCGAUCAGACCGGCAGAUCAUCACAUAAUCAGAUUUCAAGAUACCCAUUCUAA
This is a non-coding RNA of Carcharodon carcharias (great white shark), 630 nucleotides long. The record is from the annotation of a RefSeq genome assembly. NCBI's taxonomy places the organism in Eukaryota, Metazoa, Chordata, Chondrichthyes, Lamniformes, Lamnidae.